AGCAGCCGCGGUAAUUCCAGCUCCAAUAGCGUAUAUUAAAGUUGUUGCAGUUAAAAAGCUCGUAGUUGAAUUUCGGGAUUAGUAGUCUGGUCGUGCCACUGGUAUGUACUGGUCUUACUGAUUUCUCCUUCCUGAAGAACUGUAAUGUCAUUAAUUUGGUGUUGCGGGGAAUCUGGACUGUUACUUUGAAAAAAUUAGAGUGUUUAAAGCAGGCUAACGCUUGAAUACAUUAGCAUGGAAUAAUGAAAUAGGACGUUCGAUCCUAUUUUGUUGGUUUCUAGGAUUGACGUAAUGAUUAAUAGGGAUAGUUGGGGGCAUUAGUAUUCAAUUGUCAGAGGUGAAAUUCUUGGAUUUAUUGAAGGCUAACUACUGCGAAAGCAUUUGCCAAGGAUGUUUUCAUUAAUCAAGAACGAAAGUUAGGGGAUCGAAGACGAUCAGAUACCGUCGUAGUCUUAACCAUAAACUAUGCCGACUAGGGAUCGGAUGAUGUUAAUUUUAUAAUGACUCAUUCGGCGCCUUAAC
RNAcentral lists this ribosomal RNA (522 nucleotides) under uncultured fungus. RNAcentral describes it as "SSU rRNA". It matches the Rfam family "Eukaryotic small subunit ribosomal RNA", at positions 569 to 1092 of the family's 1831-position model. The record is from RNAcentral. Lineage: Eukaryota; Fungi.